Molecule: ribosomal RNA, 625 nt
Filed under: uncultured Gammaproteobacteria bacterium
Lineage: Bacteria; Pseudomonadati; Pseudomonadota; Gammaproteobacteria
Description: bacterial SSU rRNA
Rfam family: Bacterial small subunit ribosomal RNA
Source: RNAcentral
AGAGUUUGAUCAUGGCUCAGAUUGAACGCUGGCGGCAGGCCUAACACAUGCAAGUCGAGCGGAAACGGCAACAUUGACUCUUCGGAUGAUUUGUUGGACGUCGAGCGGCGGACGGGUGAGUAAUGCUUAGGAAUUUGCCCAGUCGAGGGGGAUAACUAUUGGAAACGAUAGCUAAUACCGCAUACGCCCUACGGGGGAAAAGAGGGGACCUUCGGGCCUUCUGCGAUUGGAUAAGCCUAAGUGAGAUUAGCUAGUUGGUGAGGUAAGAGCUCACCAAGGCGACGAUCUCUAGCUGGUCUGAGAGGAUGAUCAGCCACACUGGAACUGAGACACGGUCCAGACUCCUACGGGAGGCAGCAGUGGGGAAUAUUGCACAAUGGGCGCAAGCCUGAUGCAGCCAUGCCGCGUGUGUGAAGAAGGCCUUCGGGUUGUAAAGCACUUUCAGCAGUGAGGAAGGUUUAUGCGUUAAUAGCGUAUAGAUUUGACGUUAGCUGCAGAAGAAGCACCGGCUAACUCCGUGCCAGCAGCCGCGGUAAUACGGAGGGUGCGAGCGUUAAUCGGAAUUACUGGGCGUAAAGCGCAUGCAGGUGGUUUGUUAAGUCAGAUGUGAAAGCCCUGGGCUCAA